GACGAACGCUGGCGGCGUGCUUAACACAUGCAAGUCGAACGGAAAGGCCCUGCUUUUGUGGGGUGCUCGAGUGGCGAACGGGUGAGUAACACGUGAGUAACCUGCCCUUGACUUUGGGAUAACUUCAGGAAACUGGGGCUAAUACCGGAUAGGAGCUCCUGCUGCAUGGUGGGGGUUGGAAAGCUUCGGCGGUUGGGGCUGGACUCGCGGCUUAUCAGCUUGUUGGGGGGGUGGUGGCUUACCAAGGCUUUGACGGGUAGCCUGCCUGAGAGGGUGGCCGGGCACAUUGGGCCUGCGAUACGGCCCAGACUCCUACGGGAGGCAGCAGUGGGGAAUCUUGCACAAUGGGCGGACGCCUGAUGCAGCAACGCCGCGUGCGGGAUGACCGCUUUCGGGUUGUAAACCGCUUUCGCCUGUGACGAAGCGUGAGUGACGGUAAUGGGUAAAGAAGCACCGGCUAACUACGUG
This 468-nucleotide ribosomal RNA is filed under the name uncultured bacterium. Its description in RNAcentral is "partial 16S ribosomal RNA". It matches the Rfam family "Bacterial small subunit ribosomal RNA", at positions 28 to 507 of the family's 1533-position model. The record is from RNAcentral.